UGCGUAGGCGGGCUAAUAAGUCAGUGGUGAAAUCUCUCGGCUCAACCGGGAAACUGCCAUUGAUACUGUUAGUCUUGAGUUCGGCUGAGGUAGGCGGAAUGUGUAAUGUAGCGGUGAAAUGCUUAGAUAUUACACAGAACACCAAUUGCGUAGGCAGCUUACUAGACCGACACUGACGCUGAGGCACGAAAGCGUGGGGAGCGAACAGGAUUAGAUACCCUGGUAGUC
This 228-nucleotide ribosomal RNA is filed under the name uncultured bacterium. Its description in RNAcentral is "partial 16S ribosomal RNA". It matches the Rfam family "Bacterial small subunit ribosomal RNA", at positions 568 to 795 of the family's 1533-position model. The record is from RNAcentral.